This is a long non-coding RNA of Dromaius novaehollandiae (emu), 6471 nucleotides long. RefSeq lists it as uncharacterized. Lineage: Eukaryota; Metazoa; Chordata; Aves; Casuariiformes; Dromaiidae. The record is from RefSeq and is a predicted model, not a curated record. The transcript has 3 exons.
GAGCAGAGCUCUCCCUCUCCGGGCUGCCUCGUCCCUCUCCUCCCCCUCCGGCACCCCGAGCUCCCCGGCCCUCCCCGCCAGCCGAGGGACCCCAUCGCCGCCCGGGAUGCCCUUCCCCAGCGCCGGGAGAAAUGUGCCUCCCACCCCCCCAAGGAUCUCUCCUCCGGACUUAGAGAGGAGAGGAAAAGGCAGAUUUUGAGAAAUGAAAAUUAUUUAAGGAUGUCCCUGCUGCCUCUCUCUGCUGCCCUCCUCCGUAAUACAGAAGCACUUACAAAAAAUAAUACAAAGUAAAUAAAUAAAAAAAAAAAAAGAAGAAAUUCUCCAGCCAGAGGAACAGCAGAGAAAUAAUCGAGGACCCCUUCCAGUCCACGCGGGGAGCGAGAGAGAGGAGAAAGCUGCACAGGCCAAGCGCUCGCGGGCUGGAGCGGCCGCCGAGGACGAUCGCGGCAGCCCCGCUGCGCUCACCUGCCGGGGCAAGCCUGGAGACUAACCCGGCCCAGACCCUGCCCGGAGCUGCUUCAACCCUCCUCGCUGCGGGAUGGCAAAGGACCUGCCUUAAAAGUCCAACUAUGGCCACUUCCUCCUACUUCUAAGAACACGUGGACAGAGGAUCCCAUGAACAGCUUCAAACUAGCAAGCCAAAUCCACCACACAAAAUCCACCGUUUCCACUGCUCAAAGUUGCAACAGAAGAACUGCAAUGAACUUCCAUGAGUUCAGCUGAAACUUAUAUUCCUCAGACAGCGCAGAAUCUGGCCCUUACAUAUUUCAGAAAUGUGACUACGGGAGUAAGUCCUCAUUUGUAAUACCCAGUGGCAUCACUAUAGAGUAGCGAUUGUAAGGACCGCAUCAAAAUGUUUUUAAGCCUGUUUCCUAUCUUCUCAAAUUCUGCGGGAGUGAAGAAGAGCCUUGUCAUUGACUAGGGUUAGAUCAGGGUCAAGUUCUACACUGCAAAACCAAGAGAGAAACAGUGUUUACUCUCCAAUUUCCCAGAAAACUGUCAAAUCCCUCUUCAUAUGGAACAUCUCAUUUGUGUGUCAUUUGCAAACUUUUCCACUGGCAAACUCAUCAUGCUUCAAGAUUUUCUUCAUAUGAAAACUAAAUUUCUGUGUUAUCGAAACCAUCUCAUUUCAUAUCAAGCCUGAACCUCUACCUUUCUUCUCUUAUAUUGUUUUUCUCUAGGAUUUAUUGCAAUCUUACAUUAAGCUUUUUUUGUUUGUUUACACUAGAAAGGCAGCUUUUAAUCUCAUUUGAUUGCUCAGUGCAUCUUAAGAAACUCUUCUCCAAAUGGUCUCUGUCUCUUUCCCCAUCAAUCCCAGCUUUAGCACACAAGCCAGACCAAAAUUCACUGCAAGACUUGUGUUAAUAAGCAGAAUGGAAUAAGUGAGACCGUUUAGCACUUUACACCUUCAAAGACUCGCAUAAGCAACGAUGCUUUGGUAAUAUUCUCCCCAGUGGCUGUGCCCCAGGCAGGGAGGGGGCACAGUGCACCUGAUAGCCGCUCUGUCCAACGGCUAAUGCAUGCUCAGUACUCAACUGAUGUGGGUAAUGUGGCUCCCACUUGAGCCUUCCCUAAAAUAACAAACACAAAACACUGAAACCAGCCACCCCCAUCAAACACCCGGUAAACAGGUCAGGAGUACAAAAAACACUUUGAUGCACCGAACACGCCCUUCAUCAAAGCAUCCUGAAAGCACUUCGCAAUUAUUAAUGUGAUCCCUGAUUCAUCACCCACCCACACAGUUUUCCCUGAUUUACCAGCUGGAUAUGCAGAAAGCCCCAAAUACUGAAAGGCGUGAUUCUGAAAGAGAUGCCCGAGCAGUCACAGGUUCCCCAGAAAUCCCUGAGCGCUGUGCAUCUCACCCCACCUUGGAAAAAACACAGACCACUAGUAACUUGUCCCAUCCCAAUCGCGGUGAGUAGCAAAGCAAGGGAGAGAACCCAGGGCUCCUGCUCCGCAGCCCCACGAGUCCACAGAGCUUCAGCUCAACACACAUUGCACUGAGUAUUGCAACACACACGCCUGGCCUGGGUACACGGUCAGCAAAGGGACCUUGUGGAGAAAAUAAACAGUUUCUCUGUACUCUUCACCCCUUCAUCUCAACCUGUUUUUUUUUUUUCCCCUGACAUACCAUUAUUAAACAACAGGAACAAACUAGUUUCUGUGUAAAACCUUUCCCAAAGUAGCUAGAAGAUAGCAAGAAGUGCCAAGAUUUCCAUUUUCCUCCUUUUUCUUUCUUUUAAGGGGAAAUAACAUUGAAUUAAAAUAUUUGUAAACAGCACUAAUCAGCAUUUUAUUUUAUAGCUUUGAUUUUUUUUAGUUUAUUUUUUAAUCCAACAAAGACCACCCUCUCCCCCUAGGAAUACUAGGAGGGGACUAUGCUGAAAAUUAUAGAUUCCAGAGUUUGCAACAGAACCACAAAAGCUUAAUUAUAGUUAUUGACAUACCAAACACCCACUGAAGGCUUAAUCUUCCCUUGGCCAGAAAUAACCACACAAAGUGAAGGUAAAAAACGACAUCAAACAACCUCAGCUAGGGACAGCUUAUUAAAGCACCGAAGAUAUGCCUCGCUUGCCUCCCCAUAUCACAGCCUAAAGGAGACAGACGGGGGGGGACAGUCGCUGUCGUCCCACAAGCAGACUUUUAAGCUGGGUUUUAUCUCCCAUAAGGUAGGUUUGCCCAGGUUACCCCUUCCAAAUGUCUCGCUCCAGGACUGUGACUUCGGUAAAGGCCAAAAAGAGCUCCCAACUCUGCUGCGAGAUUCAAUGCUUGCGUUCAUCGCGACCGUGCAGUGCAUCCUCGCUGUUCCCCGAGCCCCAUCGUCCCCGGGGACCGGCGGGAGGCAGCAGCAGGAAGGGCUCUGCAGGUAGAGGUGUGACACCCACGGGAAUUAGCACACGUCUGGACUGCUCGGACGCAGUCCUUCCCCGGCCAGCCCUGUUUGCUCUCGGGCUAGGUGCUGGCAAGGCGUGAAGGGACAGCGCUUGUGGGCAGCUCGCUGCCCUCUGGGCAGACUCCCCGCCGCCAACAGCUGCGGUCAAAUCAAAGCCCGAAUGUAUAAAGCGAUGCUAAAAAGGUUAUAGAAAGUGGAAGCAGCAGCUGGGGUGUUCAGAGGGAACCUAUGGGAAGCCAGCGAGCACUGGCCCUCCUGGAGGGAUCCCAGCCUUAGGCGACUGCCACGUGGCAUCAGCAGAGCACGCUGCUAAGGGCCCAGCCCGCUCCGCAGCUAUCGGUGACUUACGGCCCAUCCUGCUGUGCUUCUCACGGGGAGCCCCACGAACUGCGAACACCAUCUUGAGACAGCCUCGGAAAGGCAGGGAAGCUCCAGAUCAGUAAAGCAAAUCAGACACAGGCAGCAGCAAGGACCUGGUCACUGCCGGAGCGAAAGGCUGAUUCAGAGCUGGAGAGACAAAGCACAAAGCUACUAGAAAUGAGCCUGCCACCAAAUAUGUUCAUUCACUUUCAUUUUAUCGGCAUGGAAAGCCCCCAUCUCCCCCCCAACCAUGAGACAGCAUUUGAAGGGAUGGAGAAGGCUGUUCAACCUCGGCUACGUUUGCCCGACAGCCUUACGAGCCCGUCACCUCCUACGGCAGUCAUGUAGCCGUGUGCGCGCAGCGGCUCUCAGCGCUCUUUACAAACAACAACGGGCUGGACCACAAAGCCCUCCCUUGACUUGGAGAGGGUGCAUUCAUGCAAAAACCCACAAGGAAGCUUUUAGGACCUGCAGGAGUAAGCAACUGACCACGGGGACACGUUUCACAUUCGCGUCUAGCACCUUGCACCUCUCCUGCGUGGCUGUUAAAGACCGUGGGCACAAAGGCCAAGGGCCAGACGUGCUCCACCCCAGGCUGCACUCAAGCGACGUAGCUACAAGGACAGCAAGCUCAGGUGGGCCAGAGUCAGCCCUGAUGCUCCUAGCCCCCACACUUUGGUUUUUUCCACCAAGUGACAUUGCCCUUGCCCUGUGCGCUGUAGAGCACGGAUGUUAUCUACGCAGCUCCAUCACUGGUCCCUUCCCAACAGCCCGCAGGUUUCAACAUCGUAUCUGUUUUGUGCAGCGGUGCUCACGUGACAAGCUUUGAUGUGAGCUGUUUCCUAGCCAAUGCACACGGUAGACAAAAAGCUUUUGUAAGAAGGGAGAGGUCUGAAUUAACCCUUUUUUGUAGUGAACUUUAUGGCUGGUACAUCCAGGAAAUUUGUCACUUAACAGCAUGGCCCAGUGCCCAGCAUAUAUCCUUGCUGACAUGUUAUUUAACAGGUGGCACAUCUGCAACCCGAGACACAGCCAAGAGGCUACAGUAGAACUUCUUUAGAAGGGAUACAGCCAAUGCUGGGCAGAGCAGAGAUCUUCCAAGGAGAAGUGUGGUGCCAACAGACACCUAGCUAUGUGGCUACAGCAAUACUCAGCACUAAUUUACAACAGCAGUGAAAGAACUCUCCUUAAAUGUGGAGCAGAGAAAGAAAACAGAAUAAAAGUCAAAUCUGAGUGGACUGGUUAUUGAAAACAGCAAUACCAUACUGAUUUGUUUCUCAUUUCCUAUGCACCAGCUUUAGUCUACUAAAUCGCUACAGAAUUCACUGGCGUUAUUCCUAAUUUUACAGUAAUUUGGGAGAAGAGGGGACAAAGGCAAGCAAACAAAUCUAAUUGCCUUCACUAUUUUGUUUAUCUGGUUUUUGUUCGGGCAAACAAAGAGGAUGUUCAGGUCCAAGCUGACUGUAGAGCCCACAGAACGCUUUUACUCAGCUGAUCUCUUUAAAAACAGUUUGCAAAUUUGGCACCCGGCAUCUUCAGCCACUACCAUUUGCAAGUACUUUCUUAUCUCCAUCUGGUCACUAUAGAAACUCUGGUGACUUCAGUUACUAUUGCUGCAGAUUAGUCAACUCGCAAAGCCCCUCCAAAAGAGCAGGAAGUCCUCCAAGAACCAAUCCCUUGGUCGUAAAAAGAACAAAGCCAGGAGCAGAUUAAUCACUAGAUGUUAUUUCCAGUGCAAAAGUCCAAGCAGAAAAGUCCCGAUUUUAAUAACAAAGUUAUACAUUCUCACCCAUCCACACCAACAGGCUUUUGUUCUUUGUGCCAGAGAAGAACACGCUGAGCAGAAAUGUAAGUAAUAUGGCAAGCUGUAUGAGGAGGGCAUGCUGGUGGAAAUAAAUAGCAGAAUAUGGACCAUGUGAACCACAGCCAACCGAUAUUGCCACAUUUGGUUGCCUUCCCUGUGUCAGCCAGCGUCUAAGAUUUCCCACUGCAGCGUGAGCCAGGCAGCAGGACUCCCAGGCAUCGCGUAUGUGUAGCCGAGGAGGAGGAGGAGAAGGAAGAGGGAGUCCAGGCGUGCAACCCCAAGCCACUGUGAUUUUUAGUCAGGAGCAAAAUACCAGCUGGUUGAACACAGGCAUGCCAAAGAAACUACAAACUGAGCUCACCUAAACCUGAAAGACACUAAAGAAAAGGUUAAGAUCACAGGAUGUGAAGGAAUCUGAUGGUGAACAGACAUGGCUAUCUCCACGUGCCUGGGAGAAGUCUGCAAGCCUGUCUCAGCGAUGCAACGUGGGAUUGGACAGAUCCCAAACAGCCACCUGAAAGAAAAAGGCUAAUUUUAAGUGUCACCUGUCCUAAAGUGCCAAAGCCAGCAGAGCAGCUUUGGGGAGCAGCCUAGACGUGAUGCUGAUGCAACGCCAGUAAACCACAGUCUUAGUCUUUGUAAAAAUAUCCUUAAAAAUACGACUUCUAAAAGACUCAGAAGCAGAAGGCAAAGAAAAGGAACCCCAAUUUUAUUAUCUUUGUCACAUUAUGGGCAUGAAUUCAGGCCACGGGGAAGCUGGCAUUGCCAAGCAUAUCCCUACCACACACCAGCACAAGGCUUCCUGACUCCCAGGUGGAAAGAGCAGCUGGGAAGCUCGGGGGAGCCUCACACAGGGCUCUGCAUGGAGCAGGUAGGACAGAUCGAUGGAGCAUGUCCUGUCCCACACUCUACCCCAGGCCUUGCUGCCAGCAGAAGCUUGCAGAGCCACUGCUUAAUAACCCGUAUCCUGAAGCCACCUGCUCCCAUUCUGGGACUCCUGAAUAAAGCUGGCCCUAAGAAAAAGCUUGGAUUCAGACUGGGUUAGUGUCUUUGCAUGCUUUUCUGACCCUUGCUGUGCCCACUGACUUGAACGCCUUUCUCAAACACCCUGUGAGGUUUUAUGAUAAUGGUUUAAUGGUUCAAGUCACAAAGCUUGAGAGUUUGGGAAUGUUUCUCAAAAGUUAGGUUACUGAUUGCAUUUGUGUUUCUAGGAACACAAUGGGCUGCCCCAUAGCACUGAAUUAAAGAUGGAUUUGGAUGAACCUGUUAGUGUCAGGUGCAGACAAGAAAAAUGGUGCCUAAGCAGUCCAGGAGUUCUUGCUCAGUAACCAUAGCUGUUAUAGUGCCUACUGUACAAGAAUUUGCCACUAAAUUUUUCCAGCUUAACUAUAAUAAAAAGGAUCUUUCGUUUUUA